RNAcentral lists this ribosomal RNA (332 nucleotides) under uncultured bacterium. RNAcentral's name for it is "bacterial SSU rRNA". It matches the Rfam family "Bacterial small subunit ribosomal RNA", at positions 568 to 898 of the family's 1533-position model. The record is from RNAcentral.
CGUGUAGGCGGCUUAGCAAGUCGGGCGUGAAAGCCCUCGGCUCAACCGAGGAAGUGCACCCGAAACUGCUGAGCUUGAGUGCCGGAGAGGAUGGCGGAAUUCCCCAAGUAGAGGUGAAAUUCGUAGAUAUGGGGAGGAACACCGGUGGCGAAGGCGGCCAUCUGGACGGUAACUGACGCUGAGACGCGAAAGCGUGGGUAGCAAACAGGAUUAGAUACCCUGGUAGUCCACGCCGUAAACGAUGAGAACUAGAUGUCGCGGGUGUUGACCCCUGCGGUGUCGCAGCUAACGCAUUAGGUUCUCCGCCUGGGAAGUACGGUCGCAAGAUUAAA